Molecule: unclassified non-coding RNA, 1842 nt
Filed under: Hevea brasiliensis (rubber tree)
Lineage: Eukaryota; Viridiplantae; Streptophyta; Magnoliopsida; Malpighiales; Euphorbiaceae
Source: RNAcentral
GUUUUUCAUCAAAACCUCUUCUCCUCCAUCCAAUUUCCCAUUCCGUACCAAACACGUCCUUGCACUUCACAGGUAAUUCAUUUAUCUUCUUCCUUUCUGUUCUUGUUCUUUCCUUCAAAUCCAUUGCAGUUUUCAGGUUAUCUUAAUUUUAACUUAUCGGGAAGAAAAGUGAAAGGAAAGGAAAGGUUUCCGUUCACUAAUUUGUUUGUAUCCAAACAAACUGCAGUCAAACUGCGCGUGUGAGAUACUUGGACCCACCACAGAUCGUCGUAAGUUAGCAGUUAGCACUCACCAACCGCAACAAUGAUUAUCAACGCGAAGGAGUCAACGCUGGUGCAGCCGGCGGAGAAGACGCCACGGUUGGGGUUGUGGAACGCGAACGUCGACCUCGUAGUGCCGAGAUUCCACACCCCAAGCGUCUACUUCUACAGACCUACUGGUGCUCCCAACUUCUUCGAUCCAAAUGCGGUCAAGGAGGCUCUCAGUAAGGCCCUCGUGCCUUUCUAUCCGAUGGCCGGACGGUUGCGGAGAGACGAGGAUGGUCGUAUUGAGAUUGAUUGCAAUGCCAAGGGCGUGUUAUUUGUCGUGGCGGAGACGAGCUCGGUCAUCGAUGACUUCGGUGAUUUCGCUCCAACUUUGGAGCUCAAGAAGCUUAUUCCAACCGUGGAUUACUCCGGCGGGAUAUCUACCUAUCCUCUCUUAGUUUUGCAGUUGACGUACUUCAAAUGUGGUGGAGUUUCACUUGGAGUUGGUAUGCAACACCAUGCGGCUGAUGGAUUUUCCGGUCUUCACUUCGUGAAUGCAUGGUCAGAUAUAGCUCGUGGUCUUGACAUUACCAUUCCCCCAUUCAUUGACCGCACCCUACUCCGUGCCAGAGACCCACCUCAGCCUGCAUUCCACCACAUUGAGUACCAGCCUCCUCCAGCCAUGAAGGUUCCUGCAGAAAACUUGAAACCAGAUGGUACAACAGUCUCCAUUUUCAAGUUGACAAGGGAUCAGCUUACCACACUCAAAGCCAAGGCAAAGGAAGAUGGAAACACUAUAAGUUACAGCUCCUAUGAGAUGUUAGCAGGUCAUGUAUGGAGAUCAGCUUGCAGGGCUCGUGGACUUGCAGAUGAUCAAGAAUCCAAAUUAUACAUUGCAACCGAUGGACGGUCCAGAUUACGCCCCCCACUUCCACCUGGUUACUUUGGCAAUGUGAUCUUUACAGCAACACCAAUUGCAGCAGCAGGUGAUCUGCAAUCAAAGCCAACCUGGUAUGCUGCAGGCCGGAUUCAUGAUGCAUUGGUUCGUAUGGACAACGAUUACUUAAGGUCAGCCCUUGAUUACCUGGAGCUUCAGCCUGAUUUAUCAGCUCUUGUUCGUGGAGCCCAUACAUUUAAGUGCCCAAAUCUUGGGAUUACCAGCUGGGUUAGGCUGCCCAUCCAUGAUGCAGAUUUUGGAUGGGGCAGACCCAUAUUUAUGGGGCCUGGUGGGAUUCCUUACGAGGGUCUUUCCUUCAUCUUGCCCAGCCCAACAAAUGAUGGGAGCUUAUCAGUAGCCAUUGCAUUGCAAUCAGAACAUAUGAAACUCUUUGAGAAGUUCAUCUAUGAAAUUUAAGAAAUUGAGCCGCUGGCAAUAAAUCAAAGCCAAGGCAGUUUCACAUGGUACCAGAAAUUUUUUUGCUCCUUUCUUUUAUUUUCUUAGUGGCUUUGUUAUCUUUAGUUCUCUACGCAUGGUUAAUGCAAGAAGGGAUUUACAGGGAAAAUGUCCCUUCGAGAGGGCUCGUGUUGUACAUCUGUCACCUGUGAACAAAUGUUAACUUUUUGGAAGAAAAUUAAAAAUUAAUAUGGUUGAAUUUUG